AAUUAUUUCGGUGCGCGUGAGGGAUGGAAGCGGCAUCCUUUAUUUUCUUUUUUAAGAAAAUAAAGAUACAGCGAACAGCCCGACCCGAA
Molecule: small RNA, 89 nt
Filed under: Flavobacterium urumqiense
Lineage: Bacteria; Pseudomonadati; Bacteroidota; Flavobacteriia; Flavobacteriales; Flavobacteriaceae
Description: Flavo-1 RNA
Rfam family: Flavo-1 RNA
Source: RNAcentral